UGAAAGCGUACUGUGGAAGGGAGUGUCUGGUCUCAAAAGCAUGGCUCUUCCUAGUUGCUAAUUUAAUUGGAGCCCCCCCCUUUUUUUUUCUUCUAGACCAUUCCUUCAGAAGAUGAAUAAGUGUCUGCUGCCAGUGCUGUCCUUGCUUAGCUUGGGAAGCCCUUUGGAGAUGGGCAUGAAAGGAUGUCCUGGAUAUCAGAAAUCUUCACUGGUGUCCCAGCCUUCUAAGGGAAGUGGAGAAAAUGCACAUCCAAGCAAUACCCAAUUUGGAAUUUCCAGGAUACCACUAUUGCUGUAGGAUUGAAUGGUGGCUGAACCAUAUAGAACUGAAAAGCUGGGCAACAUGGUGGUGUCACCUUGAUCCCAAACAGUUUCAGAGUUCUCAUCCCUGGCUAGGAGGCUGAGUGUGGUCCUAUCACUCUUUUGUUCUUUAGUGCUACAUGGCUUACUAUUGCCUUUAGAAUAAAGUUCCCAUUUUGCAGGAUGGCAUCAGGGCCCAUUUAUAUGUGAAUUAUUUUCUAGUACGUAUCCAGGCGUGUGUG
RNAcentral lists this long non-coding RNA (542 nucleotides) under Capra hircus (goat). RNAcentral describes it as "lncRNA (ENSCHIG00000004616.1)". Lineage: Eukaryota; Metazoa; Chordata; Mammalia; Artiodactyla; Bovidae. The record is from RNAcentral.